GAUGAACGCUGGCGGCGUGCCUAAUACAUGCAAGUCGAGCGAACGGACGAGAAGCUUGCUUUUCUGAUGUUAGCGGCGGACGGGUGAGUAACACGUGGAUAACCUACCUAUAAGACUGGGAUAACUUCGGGAAACCGGAGCCAAUACCGGAUAAUAUUUUGAACCGCAUGGUUCAAAAGUGAAAGACGGUCUUGCUGUCACUUAUAGAUGGAUCCGCGCUGCAUUAGCUAGUUGGUAAGGUAACGGCUUACCAAGGCAACGAUGCAUAGCCGACCUGAGAGGGUGAUCGGCCACACUGGAACUGAGACACGGUCCAGACUCCUACGGGAGGCAGCAGUAGGGAAUCUUCCGCAAUGGGCGAAAGCCUGACGGAGCAACGCCGCGUGAGUGAUGAAGGUCUUCGGAUCGUAAAACUCUGUUAUUAGGGAAGAACAUAUGUGUAAGUAACUGUGCACAUCUUGACGGUACCUAAUCAGAAAGCCACGGCUAACUACGUGCCAGCAGCCGCGGUAAUACGUAGGUGGCAAGCGUUAUCCGGAAUUAUUGGGCGUAAAGCGCGCGUAGGCGGUUUUUUAAGUCUGAUGUGAAAGCCCACGGCUCAACCGUGGAGGGUCAUUGGAAACUGGAAAACUUGAGUGCAGAAGAGGAAAGUGGAAUUCCAUGUGUAGCGGUGAAAUGCGCAGAGAUGUGGAGGAACACCAGUGGCGAAGGCGACUUUCUGGUCUGUAACUGACGCUGAUGUGCGAAAGCGUGGGGAUCAAACAGGAUUAGAUACCCUGGUAGUCCACGCCGUAAACGAUGAGUGCUAAGUGUUAGGGGGUUUCCGCCCCUUAGUGCUGCAGCUAACGCAUUAAGCACUCCGCCUGGGGAGUACGACCGCAAGGUUGAAACUCAAAGGAAUUGACGGGGGCCCGCACAAGCGGUGGAGCAUGUGGUUUAAUUCGAAGCAACGCGAAGAACCUUACCAAAUCUUGACAUCCUUUGACAACUCUAGAGAUAGAGCCUUCCCCUUCGGGGGACAAAGUGACAGGUGGUGCAUGGUUGUCGUCAGCUCGUGUCGUGAGAUGUUGGGUUAAGUCCCGCAACGAGCGCAACCCUUAAGCUUAGUUGCCAUCAUUAAGUUGGGCACUCUAAGUUGACUGCCGGUGACAAACCGGAGGAAGGUGGGGAUGACGUCAAAUCAUCAUGCCCCUUAUGAUUUGGGCUACACACGUGCUACAAUGGACAAUACAAAGGGCAGCGAAACCGCGAGGUCAAGCAAAUCCCAUAAAGUUGUUCUCAGUUCGGAUUGUAGUCUGCAACUCGACUACAUGAAGCUGGAAUCGCUAGUAAUCGUAGAUCAGCAUGCUACGGUGAAUACGUUCCCGGGUCU
Molecule: ribosomal RNA, 1372 nt
Filed under: uncultured bacterium
Lineage: Bacteria
Description: bacterial SSU rRNA
Rfam family: Bacterial small subunit ribosomal RNA
Source: RNAcentral